Molecule: ribosomal RNA, 252 nt
Filed under: uncultured bacterium
Lineage: Bacteria
Description: partial 16S ribosomal RNA
Rfam family: Bacterial small subunit ribosomal RNA
Source: RNAcentral
AGGCGAAGCGGCGACGCGGAGCGACCCAAAAACACCGCCCCAGUUCGGAUUGCAGUCUGCAACCCGACUACAUGAAGCUGGAAUCGCUAGUAAUCGCGGAUCAGAAUGCCGCGGUGAAUACGUUCCCGGGUCUUGUACACACCGUCCGUCACACCAUGGGAGUCGGAAAUGCCCGAAGUCGGUGACCUAACUGAAAGGAAGGAGCCGCCGAAGGCAGGUCUGGUGACUGGGGUGAAGUCGUAACAAGGUAUC